This 164-nucleotide unclassified non-coding RNA is filed under the name uncultured Rasamsonia. RNAcentral's name for it is "sequence contains ITS2". Lineage: Eukaryota; Fungi; Ascomycota; Eurotiomycetes; Eurotiales; Trichocomaceae. The record is from RNAcentral.
CUGCCCCUCAAGCACGGCUUGUGUGUUGGGCCGUCGUCCCCCCUUCCCCGGGGGACGGGCCCGAAAGGCAGCGGCGGCGUCGCGUCCGGUCCUCGAGCGUAUGGGGCUCUGUCACCCGCUCUGGAGGCCUGGCCGGUGCCUGCCCACCCACCAAUCUUCUCUAA